Molecule: long non-coding RNA, 1980 nt
Organism: Prionailurus viverrinus (fishing cat)
Lineage: Eukaryota; Metazoa; Chordata; Mammalia; Carnivora; Felidae
Exons: 5
Source: RefSeq, a predicted model, not a curated record
GCGCCCCCUGGCCCCCGGGCAUCACGGAGUGACCCGCCCGGAGUCUGGUUCCGGGAGUGGCUGCGGGCCCGGGGCCCCACCGGCUGUCCCCACCCCCGCCCUUGCCCUGACGCUCUCUGCCGACCGGUCCCCCUCUCCCGAUCGCCCUGCGACACCUGCUCUCCCCGCUUCUUCCCCUCUGCCCUCCCUCGGUCAAGGUGCACAGCCCGGUCCGCUCACCGCCGCCGCCCCCCACCCGCUGACCCCGGGCUGACCCCGGCUGCCUCUUCGCGCUCCUGAAAGCGCACUGCCCACCUCCCGGGACUCCCCAAAGCCCGGGGGCAGCCCUCCCGCCCACUAUUUGACCCACGCGGGCCGCUCCCCGCCCCUGACGCCUGGGACCCGGGCCAGCCCUCCCCCGAUGUGCCCUCCCCGCGCCCGGCCCGCCCGCCCUCCGCUGUCCGCACCCCUGUCCGCUUCGUGGACGCCCGCCCACCCAGCCCUGCCCGGGCGUCACGGAAACCCUGGAUGACGACAGGUGCCUCCUGGCUCCUGGGAUUGCGGUGGGGGGCAAAGGGUCACCCUGAGUCAGCCGGACUGAGUAGGCGCAGGGGGCGUUGCUGGGGUCCGGCAGGGGUGCCCCACUGUUGGGACUGUCCCAGAGGAGCUGCGACGCGGACCGCAGAGGUCUAGAUGCCCAGAUGCCCAGGAGCUGCCUCCCAAGAAGAGAGAUCACCUGUGCCCCCCCUCCAAGGGAAUGGAAAGCUGCUUCUGGAAGCAGAGGUGUUGGGGGGAGCUGCCUAGGGCCUUUCCGGAGCUACAGGUGCCCCCAGCCCGUCCCUCAGCACGCCAGCCCCUCUGAAAGCUGACCGCGUCUGCCAGGGUGUCCCGCUCAGAUGCCACUGAAGAGGAGUCUCCCCACCCAGAGGCUCUUCUGGGUACCGGAAACUUCAGCUAUGAAAGACUGCCGUCAAGGAGCCGGCACCCUGGCAGGGACAUGCUGAACAGACAACUCACACCUGGAACGUGUGUACAUCCGUGGCCCAUCUCUCCCGCCGUAAAGAACGCUCUAGAAGGACAUUGCCUAUCUUGUCCAUGGCUCUAGCUCCAGCACAUAGGACAGUGGUGACCAGCACACCCGAGAAAAGGGGAGACUGAAGACAGACACAUAUAGAGGGAAAGGUGAUGUGAAGACACAGAAAGAGUGCCAUCUACGAACCAUGGAACCCCUGAGACCGCCAGAAACUCGGAGGGAGGCCUGGAACAGACAUCUUGAUCUUGAACUCCUAGUCUCGAGAAUUUUGAGCCGAUAUAUCUGUGUCGUUGGUGGCCUUUGUUAGGGCAGCCCCGGGAAAGGAAGACACCCAGCUUAUUCCUUCUGUGGUCCCCUGUGGGCGUGUCCAGCUCCCCAUCCGUCCGUGCCCCACACUGUAGACUAUUGUCAACUGUCUUUCCAAUGCUGAGCGCCCUGAAGGCAAGAGAACUAUGUCUGAUUGGCUCUGCUCCCUAGCACCCAAGCUGUGUUUUUAUCCUACGUUGGAAAAUGUGUAGUGAGCCCCUCCCAAGUGUCAGGUAUAAGGCCAGGCCUGGGGACAACAAAAUGAAGCCACAGUUUGUGUCAAAUGCCAUGGGAAACUGGGAGGGAGAGAAAGACAGAGAGAGAGAGAGGGAGGGAGAGAGACUGCCUGGCAGAGGGCAGGAACUCCACGAAUGCCCCAGACUUCCGUAAAAAUCACCUCUGCUUUUAUUUCAUUUUGUGGUUUUACAGCGCACAUUAAUUCAUUGUCUCUUUCAUGAAUCAAGCUCCAGUCAGCAUGGAUUUGUAGGGACAGGCGAUAUCAAGUGGCGGGGGGUGGGGGGGGGGCAGUGGGUGAGUUCUAAAGCCAGGCUUCGAGGUCCGAUUCCUGGCUCCAUCACUUACUGCCGUGACCCUGGACAAGUUACUGAGCCUCACUGUGCCUCAAUUUCCUCAUCUGUAAAACGGAGCUCUUCUUUUAGUAU